AGUGACCAGAAGACAAGUGUGAGCCUUCUAUUAUGCCAGGGCAGGGCCACCAGAGGGCUCCUUGGUCUAGCAGUAACGCCA
This 81-nucleotide microRNA precursor is filed under the name Colobus angolensis palliatus. RNAcentral's name for it is "miRNA (ENSCANG00000014286.1)". The record is from RNAcentral. Lineage: Eukaryota; Metazoa; Chordata; Mammalia; Primates; Cercopithecidae.